GAUGAAGAACGUAGCGAAAUGCGAUAAGUAAUGUGAAUUGCAGAAUUCAGUGAAUCAUCGAAUCUUUGAACGCACAUUGCGCCCCUUGGUAUUCCGAGGGGCAUGCCUGUUCGAGCGUCAUUUCAACCCCUCAAGCUUCGGCUUGGUGUUGGGCCGCGCCGCUGCACCAGCAGCUGGCGGGCUUCAAAAUCAGUGGCGGUGCCGUCUCGGCUCUAAGCGUAGUAACAUCUCUCGCUCUGGAGACCUGGCGGUGGCUUGCCAGACAACCCCCAACUUUCUUUAAGGUUUGACCUCGGAUCAGGUAGGGAUACCCGCUGAACUUAAGCAUAUCAAUAAGCGGAGGA
This 344-nucleotide unclassified non-coding RNA is filed under the name soil metagenome. RNAcentral describes it as "partial contains 5.8S ribosomal RNA, internal transcribed spacer 2, and large subunit ribosomal RNA". The stretch from base 1 to 120 matches the Rfam family "5.8S ribosomal RNA", at positions 35 to 154 of the family's 154-position model. The record is from RNAcentral.